This is a long non-coding RNA of Rhipicephalus microplus (southern cattle tick), 366 nucleotides long. Lineage: Eukaryota; Metazoa; Arthropoda; Arachnida; Ixodida; Ixodidae. The record is from RefSeq and is a predicted model, not a curated record.
UUCGACGUGAAGAGAAUUUAUUCCGACUUGCGUUGUAUGUCUGCCAAAGUGCGUGUCAUUGUAGUAGUUUUGGACGCUUUACAAUUACCUUGCCUGACGAAGCCAACAACAACAUGAUUAUUAGCAACACCAGAAGCGGUAUGCUGACAUGAAGCACUCGGGCUUGCGAGGAUGGCAGCCCUGGACACUGCUUCAUAACUAAACUUCAGCGGAUGGCGUCAACCUGACAUGACAACAGCGAACAUGACGAGUGUUCGGGUCACAGCAGAGCCAAGCAGACUUCCAUCCUUGAUACCUUCGGGCACGGCACAUGUGGACAUCGAGGUGGAGCCAAGUAUCCCUGAAAUCAUGCUGCCUUCGGCAAGU